UGUCCAGGAACUCCUAUCCCUACCUUCCCGCGGUGCAGCCUGGGGUACGAGUAACCAUAGGAAAGAUCGGGUAACCAACCCCGGUGGGACCUAGGACGUAUGCUGAUAGGGAAGG
Non-coding RNA from Aedes aegypti (yellow fever mosquito), 115 nucleotides. Lineage: Eukaryota; Metazoa; Arthropoda; Insecta; Diptera; Culicidae. The record is from Rfam.